CGGUGGAACGAUUUGUCUGGUUAAUUCCGAUAACGAACGAGACCUCUGUACCAUGCUCUAGGCGCCUUGAGGCUUUGUAGUCGCGGCCGAGUGUUAUAGACAUUGGUGGAAGCGUAUGCCAGAAAGGGGCAACUCUGGAAGGUGUACUGUGAAAGCCUUUGGAAGUACCUUGGUAUCCAAACGUGACGACUCGAGUGUGUCCUAUCUUGGUAGACUGUGAAAGGUAGCUACUUUAAGG
Molecule: ribosomal RNA, 238 nt
Filed under: uncultured eukaryote
Lineage: Eukaryota
Description: partial 18S ribosomal RNA
Source: RNAcentral